RNAcentral lists this ribosomal RNA (398 nucleotides) under Pseudo-nitzschia fraudulenta. Its description in RNAcentral is "partial Bacterial large subunit ribosomal RNA". It matches the Rfam family "Bacterial large subunit ribosomal RNA", at positions 595 to 994 of the family's 2925-position model. The record is from RNAcentral. Lineage: Eukaryota; Bacillariophyta; Bacillariophyceae; Bacillariales; Bacillariaceae.
GACUGCGUACCUUUUGUAUAAUGGGUCAGCGACUUAUAUUUUGUAGCGAGGUUAACCGAUUAGGGGAGCCGUAGCGAAAGCGAGUCUUAACUGGGCGCGUAGUUGCAAGGUAUAGACCCGAAACCCGGUGAUCUAGCCAUGGGCAGGUUGAAGGUUGAGUAACAUCAACUGGAGGACCGAACCCACUGUCGUUGAAAAGCCAGGGGAUGACUUGUGGAUCGGAGUGAAAGGCUAAUCAAGCCCGGAGAUAGCUGGUUCUCCCCGAAAGCUAUUUAGGUAGCGCCUCGGACGAAUACCACAGGGGGUAGAGCACUGUUUCGGCUAGGGGGUCAUCCCGACUUACCAACCCGAUGCAAACUCCGAAUACCUGUGAGUACUAUCCGGGAGACACACGGCGG